GAUGAAGAACGUAGCGAAAUGCGAUAAGUAGUGUGAAUUGCAGAAUUCAGUGAAUCAUCGAAUCUUUGAACGCACAUUGCGCCUUCUAGUAUUCUGGGAGGCAUGCCUGUUUGAGCGUCAUUAAACCUCUCUCAAGUAUGAUUACUUGGAUGUGAAGGAAGAGUACCUUAAACUUAAGGAGUGUUCUCCUUUGAAAUUGAUUAGCAGAUGGUAAUGUUAUUAAAUCCCUGAUGUUGUAAGAAAUAACAGUGGUUUUGUAGACUAUUAUCUAGCUUUAAAUUAUAAUUUUUAUUAUGGUUGACCUCAAAUCAGGAAAGGAUACCCGCUGAACUUAAGCAUAUCAAUAAGCGGAGGA
This 355-nucleotide unclassified non-coding RNA is filed under the name soil metagenome. Its description in RNAcentral is "partial contains 5.8S ribosomal RNA, internal transcribed spacer 2, and large subunit ribosomal RNA". The stretch from base 1 to 120 matches the Rfam family "5.8S ribosomal RNA", at positions 35 to 154 of the family's 154-position model. The record is from RNAcentral.